CUAAUAAAGAAAAAUAACAAUUAUAGUUAAAAAUGACACAUAAAAUCAUAAAUUGUAAUGCCUUUACUCCAAUAACUUUAUUCCCACUUUACUUCAACAAUUAGAGGAAUUGUUCGUUUGGGCCCACUCCAUCCUGAGUUUCACAGUUUUGUCUCAUUGGUGAACGAAAAACUUCUCGGAAGAUCACCCAUCAUAGGAUUUCACUCAAGUGAACACACUUAACUUCAGAAUUCUUCUAACUUUCCAGGCCAUUCCACCAAAAUAUAC
Molecule: unclassified non-coding RNA, 267 nt
Filed under: Hevea brasiliensis (rubber tree)
Lineage: Eukaryota; Viridiplantae; Streptophyta; Magnoliopsida; Malpighiales; Euphorbiaceae
Source: RNAcentral